UGUCUAGUGAGAGAUUAAUGAUUUUACCAUGUUUUUUUAAUUAUAUCAAUAUAUCAUGCACAGUUGUCAUCGAGCUAGAACUUCGUCAACAAAGUUACUGGAUAUUACUUUCCAUAAGUGAGUGUAGUAUUAUUAUAUUUUAUUUUUAGAUAAUGAAAAAUAAUAACUGUGAACUAUGUCCCUUCUGAUCAGACAUUCAGGGAAAAAUGGUUAAAUUUUGUCUACAAUAGGGGGAGUAGAAAUAAAUGGUUGGAAACCACUACUCUAAAUGUUAUGUGACACUUGACUAAUUUUAAAUUCUGAUUGGAGCAAAGAUUUGCUUGGAUUUCUAUGUGUAGCAUCAUUUCUGAAAGGAAAUCAAUGUGGGGAGAUUUUUUUGCUAAGUCUUUAUUUAUGGGCCAUUUUUUUCCUUGUCUUUUUUUACCCGUUCCCAAUGCAUCCUUAUAUUCUUUGUCGGGUGUUUUUUGUAAUGCAUUUGAAACAUUUAAUAUUAAAAUGAUCAAAAGAAAACAAAUCGACUUAAAAAUAAUAAUACAGUAUAUUAUAUAACAUAAAUAAUUAUGUCUAUAGUCAUAACUGGUGAGACAUUAAACAGUUAUCAAUCAAAGGCUUAAGAUAAUUAACAAAAGUUAAUAGUUUACAUAAGUAUAAAAAGUCAAUAUAAUCACAUAUUUUACUUAAUUCUACACAAUUUUUAACUAUAUCCUUCUCAAUAAUAUAAUUAAUUAAAAAACAAUUAUUUUAAAAAUCCUUUAGAUUUUUUUUUUAUAGUUAAAAGUUUAAUUUCCACAUAUUGACAGUUAAAAUAGUUAUUAUAUAUUUAAGCAAAAUGUAUUAAACAGUAAAAAAAAAACCUGUGUACUAUAUAAUGUAUUUUAUAGACUUUAGGCACCAAUAUCCAUGUAUAAAAAUAACAUAUUAAACAUACACAUAUUAAAAAUAAAAAUAGUAUAGGACCUACAUUUAGUUAAAUUCACCUCUUAUGUUUGAAAUUUUGUAUUAUAUGAAUCUUUGUUUUGUUUUUUUUUCCUCAACAUUAAAAUUGUUAGCCACAUUAUUAUUUCUUAUAGAUUUUAACCAGUGAUUUUUUAACUUUUCUUUACUGUUAUUAGUAGUUCUAAUUUUUACUAAAUAAAAUUUCUAUUAUCAUGUAUAUAAUAUAAUCGAAAUAUACUACAAUUUUAACUCAACGUCAAAUGUUGAGAUAAAUUUGACUUUAAAAAGACUUCCUAGGAUAAUAGGGACAGGUGCAGCCACUGUUAUAGAUAAUUUGAUGUAUAUCUGUAAGCAACAAUAAACUAUUUCUUAUAAAAAACGAUUCUGAGCAGAGUGAUGCUUUGUCAACAAUAUAUAUAUAUAUAUGAGUCAUAUUAUAGUAAAAUAAUUAUAUAGGCUAUACAUAUUUUCUUUAAUAAUAUUUGUUUAAUGUUGUACUGAUUUUUCAAAUUUUAUGAGAAAACUCUUGAAAAAUGGAAAAAUACACAAAAUAUAUUACUAAAAUAUUACUUUUUUUUCCUGUGCACAGCUUUUCUACCAGCAAUUUUGCUCCAACUUUUAAUGAUAGCAAAAUUUCUAAAAGGUAAUUUCACUAAAGAGGUACUUUAGAGAGGCAAUUUUUUUCGAUUUUCUCAUUAGUUUUCCCAGCAAAACACUAAGAAAAACAUAGGAAAAUUGGGAAAAUCAGCACAACAUUAAACAAUAUUAUUAAAGAAAAUAUGUAUAGCCUAUAUAAUUAUUUUACUAUAAUAUGACAUAUAUAUAUAUAUAUUGACAAAGCAUGAAUUUCAUUUUAAUAGUCUUUAUACUUGGAUGGUUAUGACCCACUAAUUUAGAGAACUGGUGGUUCUAACCUUCCGUUUGAUUAUUUGUACAUUCACCAUUAUUUAACGUAGUUUCAUAUGCAGUCCAAGUAGAAGGAGGGAAUAUUUCAAAGGAUCUGGAUAUACAAUUCUAUCUGAACAAGCAUCCAUUAUAAUGGAUAGCAUUUUUUCAUAUGUGUUUUGAUUUUUUUUUUUUAUACAUAAUAACAUAAACAGCAGUAAUAAAAACGGAUUUAACUUGUAUUCUAAAAACAGAGCUGCUUAAAUUCUCUAGGAGCUAAAACAAAAUUACCAUCCAAAUACAAUUCAUUGGAUUCUUUCAAAAGUUUUAAUUCAUCGUCAGUAGCGAAUAUCGCAAUUGGAUUUGUUGAAUCUACCCUUAUGUUGUGUAGUAAAAGUCAUAAACAGUUUGGUACAACAGUAGUUGUCCACUGACAUACCAAAAUUUAAUUUAAUUUAUUAAUAGAAUUUAUUUAUAUUUAUAUAUAUAUAUUAAUACAUUAAUACUGUCGAUAUUUACAUAAUUAAUUAUGGAUUUGUUUCAAUUAAUUUUAAACAUAUUAUAUUUUUUCACAAAAAACUAAAUUAAAAUUGGAUCAAAUUACUAACCUUCAAUAGCAAUUUUUCUAGUUGGAAUAUUUUUAGAAUGUUGGUUUCGGAGAGUCCUUUUUAUAACUGGAAUUCGAGCUUUACAUAAGGUCGAAAGUAAAUUAAUUCCUUCUGCAUAGAUUUCAACUGGAAGUACUUGGGUUGAUUUAGCGUUUUCGUUCAUUUUUAAUAAAAAUGUUGAAACUUCAAUAUCGUCUCUAUUGGUUCAUGGUUGUGUAAGAUCCCUACAUUAGGAUCUAAAUUAUUCAACUUGGAGUACAUUGUUCCGGGCCAUUUUGAUAACAAAAAUGUAUAGCAUCUUCCCAACAUAUGUCCUUUCCAGAACAUUUUUAUUUAUUUUUGAAAGAUAAAAUAAUUUCCAUAAACAAGAAUCAAAAAUUUUACUUUAAAUUUAAAUGAACAAGACACGAGAAAACUGAAACAACUAACAAUACACUGCAUGAAUUACACUAUUUCAAACUUAAAUUUAGAUAAAUUUUAAUAUUUCAUCAAAAAUAAUAAAAAGUAAAAUUUAGAUAUACACUAGUUUAGGUAUCUAAUACAUAAUUAUAAGCGCCUAAGUUGGAAAAUACCAGAGGUAUAUAUUAUAUUACUACUUGUGUUUAUAAAAGGUAAUGCUAUAAUAUUAAAAACCUAAAUAGGUAGGUACAUAAUAUUAAUAAUUUUAGUUAUCUAUAUUAUUAAAUAGAUUUUAAAUUAUUAUUGUAUAGAUACCUAUUAACACUUAUUUAAUUUCAUUGAAAUAAUUAUUGAAAACAAAUGUGUUUUCUAUAAUACUUUUGUCUUUUUUUUCUAUGCCUUUUUUCUUUGUCUUUUUUCCCUAGACUAGGAUGCAUUAGCUUUGUGAAGACUAAGGCAGUCUAAUAAGCACAUACAAAAUAAAAAAUAUUCAGAACAAGACAUUGCAUUUGUGUUUUAAAAAUAAUUUUUUUUUUUUUCAUUAUUAUAUAGAGACGGAAUUGUUUAAAUAGCUGUUUAUGAUUAUUUAUC
Molecule: non-coding RNA, 3419 nt
Organism: Cinara cedri
Lineage: Eukaryota; Metazoa; Arthropoda; Insecta; Hemiptera; Aphididae
Source: the annotation of a GenBank genome assembly